RNAcentral lists this ribosomal RNA (245 nucleotides) under uncultured Staphylococcus sp. Its description in RNAcentral is "partial 16S ribosomal RNA". It matches the Rfam family "Bacterial small subunit ribosomal RNA", at positions 110 to 354 of the family's 1533-position model. The record is from RNAcentral. Lineage: Bacteria; Bacillati; Bacillota; Bacilli; Caryophanales; Staphylococcaceae.
GUACGACGUACGGUAACUACUAUAGAUAGGUACGUACGGAACGGAGCUAAUACCGGAUAAUAUUUCGAACCGCAUGGUUCGAUAGUGAAAGAUGGUUUUGCUAUCACUUAUAGAUGGACCCGCGCCGUAUUAGCUAGUUGGUAAGGUAACGGCUUACCAAGGCGACGAUACGUAGCCGACCUGAGAGGGUGAUCGGCCACACUGGAACUGAGACACGGUCCAGACUCCUACGGGAGGCAGCAGGC